AGUGAACGCUGGCGGUAGGCCUAACACAUGCAAGUCGAACGGCAGCACAGUGAGAGCUUGCUCUUACGGGUGGCGAGUGGCGGACGGGUGAGGAAUACAUCGGAAUCUACUUUUUCGUGGGGGAUAACGUAGGGAAACUUACGCUAAUACCGCAUACGACCUACGGGUGAAAGCAGGGGAUCUUCGGACCUUGCGCGAUUGAAUGAGCCGAUGUCGGAUUAGCUAGUUGGCGGGGUAAAGGCCCACCAAGGCGACGAUCCGUAGCCGGUCUGAGAGGAUGAUCAGCCACACUGGAACUGAGACACGGUCCAGACUCCUACGGGAGGCAGCAGUGGGGAAUAUUGGACAAUGGGCGCAAGCCUGAUCCAGCCAUACCGCGUGGGUGAAGAAGGCCUUCGGGUUGUAAAGCCCUUUUGUUGGGAAAGAAAAGCAGCAGGUUAAUACCCCGCUGUUCUGACGGUACCCAAAGAAUAAGCACCGGCUAACUUCGUG
This 492-nucleotide ribosomal RNA is filed under the name uncultured bacterium. RNAcentral describes it as "partial 16S ribosomal RNA". It matches the Rfam family "Bacterial small subunit ribosomal RNA", at positions 29 to 507 of the family's 1533-position model. The record is from RNAcentral.